GGACGAACAUCAGAGCCCGCAGCUCUCGGCCCUGCUGGUGGCAGAGGCUUUGUACCGUGUGACAAUGACCUGGAUAUGGAAGCAGAAGGGAGCUUCUAAGGACCGGAAGCUGACAGUCUGUCUCCUGUCCUGGCCCAGACACUGGGGUUCAGGAACCAGAGCCUCAGUGUCUGCAGGAGUUGCUGGCUGUUUCCUGAUGCAGUUGGAGCAGAAUGGGAUGUCCUGGGACAACAGAGAUGUUUACCCAUCUUGACUAGUGUGGUCAUCUGAAGAAUGGCCUCCAAAGACAUCCUGAGAACCUGGGAAUGUUGCAUGGAUGAAGGAAUUUGCAAAUGUGAUUAAGUUAAGGAGCUUGAAAUUUGUGAAUCAUGCUGGGUUACUCCAGUGAGCUCUAAAUGUAAUCACAUGUGUCUUUAUGAAAGGGGGGCAGAGGGAGAUUUGCAGACAGAUGAGGAAGAAGAUGAGAAAACAAUGGACACAAGAAAGAAAAGGUGAUGCAGUUCAGGGACCCAAGCCAAUAAAUGAGGUGGCUUCCAGAUGCUGGAGAAGGGAAGGAAGCAGAUGGACUCUAGAGCCCCCAAAAGAAGCAGGGCUCUGCCAUCACCUUGAUUUUGUCCCAGUGAAACCCAUUGGUCAUUUAGCUGCCAGAACUGUGUAAGCAUAAAUGUGUGUUCAUUUAAGCCAUGAAAUUUGCAGUAAUUUGUUAAAGCUGCCAUGGGAAACUAACACAACUGGAGUGGUAGUUCCAUGAAUGCAUGCAUUCACCAAACCUUAACAUGUACCCUUCGGAUACUGGCAUGAUAGGUCCAUGAAUGCAUAUGUUCACCCACACACUAAUAUAUACC
RNAcentral lists this long non-coding RNA (845 nucleotides) under Pan troglodytes (chimpanzee). RNAcentral describes it as "lincRNA". Lineage: Eukaryota; Metazoa; Chordata; Mammalia; Primates; Hominidae. The record is from RNAcentral.